RNAcentral lists this ribosomal RNA (462 nucleotides) under uncultured bacterium. Its description in RNAcentral is "bacterial SSU rRNA". It matches the Rfam family "Bacterial small subunit ribosomal RNA", at positions 337 to 796 of the family's 1533-position model. The record is from RNAcentral.
UCCUACGGGAGGCAGCAGUGAGGAAUAUUGGUCAAUGGGCGCAAGCCUGAACCAGCCAAGUAGCGUGCAGGAUGACUGCCCUAUGGGUUGUAAACUGCUUUUAUAGGGGAAUAAAGUGAGGUAUGUAUACCUUUUUGUAUGUACCCUAUGAAUAAGGACCGGCUAAUUCCGUGCCAGCAGCCGCGGUAAUACGGAAGGUCCAGGCGUUAUCCGGAUUUAUUGGGUUUAAAGGGAGCGCAGGCGGGCUUUUAAGCGUGUUGUGAAAUGUAACGGCUCAACCGUUGAAUUGCAGCGCGAACUGGAGGCCUUGAGUGAGUACGACGUGUACGGAAUUCGUGGUGUAGCGGUGAAAUGCUUAGAUAUCACGAAGAACUCCGAUUGCGAAGGCAGUGCACGAGUCCUUAACUGACGCUAAAGCUCGAAAGUGCGGGUAUCGAACAGGAUUAGAUACCCUGGUAGUCC